Molecule: long non-coding RNA, 765 nt
Filed under: Papio anubis (olive baboon)
Lineage: Eukaryota; Metazoa; Chordata; Mammalia; Primates; Cercopithecidae
Description: lncRNA (ENSPANG00000043812.1)
Source: RNAcentral
UGUAAAUCUCUGACUAGUUUCUGCCUCUCCCCAUCCUCCUCACUCACUUCCUACUACUUCCCAGUAUCAAAGAGCAUGUAAGAAAGGACAGCAUUUGGACGGGCAGGGCUCUUCAGCCCCUGCUUUGCUCUUUUCUAGGUACCUCUUCUUCUUCCUUGAAAGCCAUUGUCCCUUUAAUCAAUGUGACACAGCCCUUUGAAAACAGCCUCCUUGCUCUUGGAAGUUGGCAGGGGAAAAAAGGCAGGAAUUCAUUUGCAGGGAACCUAUCCUCUGGCAGAUGAAGUCAGGAGCGACUCCAGGAAAUAGAUUAUAAAGUGAAAGUCUAGGAGCUGGAUCUACCUCUGGCCAACUGGUAAUGAGGACCCCAUUAUAGAAGGUGAGUAGAGUACUCAUAGCCCCUAACGUGUUAUAGUGGUUAUUGUGAAAACUUUCACUAAUGGUGAACUGGAACAAGAUACCUGGUGAAAGGAAAUGUACAAGUGUGAGAUCAUCCUAGGCAUUUGAAAGAUUCUGAGAAAAUAGUAAUUAUAAAGGCUGUGAAAUCAAUCAGACAGUCUUUGCUGGGUGCUAUUGAGUCAUUGAAGAAAUACCUUAAAAUGCUGACGAUAAUUAACAAUUAAUUAAAUAAUAGCUCUAAAAACUGGAGAGCUUUUUUGGUAGUAGAAAAGAGACUCAAUUCUUGGAAUUUGAAGGGAAGAAAAGAAUGUUGUAAGACUAGUAGAAUUCCAGAGAAAGUUGACUAGUCAACCAUGGCAAAUCUGACAU